RNAcentral lists this transfer RNA (74 nucleotides) under Amnibacterium setariae. RNAcentral's name for it is "Amnibacterium sp. DD4a tRNA-Gly". It matches the Rfam family "tRNA". Rfam says of the family: Transfer RNA (tRNA) molecules are approximately 80 nucleotides in length. Their secondary structure includes four short double-helical elements and three loops (D, anti-codon, and T loops). The record is from RNAcentral. Lineage: Bacteria; Bacillati; Actinomycetota; Actinomycetes; Micrococcales; Microbacteriaceae.
GGGGAUGUAGCUCAAUGGCAGAGCUCCAGUCUUCCAAACUGGUGGUGCGGGUUCGAUUCCCGUCAUCCCCUCCG